This is a non-coding RNA of Triticum aestivum (bread wheat), 161 nucleotides long. Lineage: Eukaryota; Viridiplantae; Streptophyta; Magnoliopsida; Poales; Poaceae. The record is from Rfam.
UUUCUACUCCCUCCAUCCGAAAAUACUUGUCAUCAAAAUGGAUAAAAAUAGAUGUAUCUAAAACUAAAAUACGUCUAGAUACAUUUCCUUUUAUCCAUUUUGAUGNACAUUUCCUUUUAUCCAUUUUGAUGACAAGUAUUUCCGGACGGAGGGAGUAUUUG